AACCGGGAGGAAGGUGGGGAUGACGUCAAAUCAUCAUGCCCCUUAUGUCUGGGGCUACACACGUGCUACAAUGGUGGGAACAAAGAGAUGCAAGACCGCAAGGUGGAGCCAAACUCAAAAACCCAUCCCAGUUCGGAUUGUAGGCUGAAACUCGCCUACAUGAAGCUGGAGUUGCUAGUAAUCGCGAAUCAGAAUGUCGCGGUGAAUACGUUCCCGGGCCUUGUACACACCGCCCGUCACACCAUGAGAGUCGGCAACACCCGAAGCCCGUGAGGUAACCUUUUGGAACCAGCGGUC
This 297-nucleotide ribosomal RNA is filed under the name Clostridium guangxiense. RNAcentral describes it as "partial 16S ribosomal RNA". It matches the Rfam family "Bacterial small subunit ribosomal RNA", at positions 1160 to 1457 of the family's 1533-position model. Lineage: Bacteria; Bacillati; Bacillota; Clostridia; Eubacteriales; Clostridiaceae. The record is from RNAcentral.